CUGAUUUGUUUUAGAAAGGAUGCUUUCCAUGACUUUGAAUGGAGACUGUAAAACCAUAAUGCAGGGGAAGUUUACAGGCUCUAACCACUAAACUUAUUGAACAAUCCAGGAGACAUUGCUGUCCUUUUUCAUGAGCUGAAGGAUCGAAUUGACUUUCCAGUUGGAUUUUGAAAAAGACAUUGCCUCAACCUACUUUGUAACAAUGAACCUGCCAGAUCAUUGUUGGCCUGCGUCCCACAGCCGAGCAUGCUACUCUCGUUGUGUGUGCAGAGGCAGCUGCAGACGGAUCGCCUCGGUUUGGUUUCAUCGUGGACAAAUUUCAUGCCUUUGAAGUGGAGCUUGAUCCGCCGACAACAAAGGGACUUUCAGCCUGAGAGCAACAAGGGUAACCCAGUCACCUGUGCCUCCCCCUGCACAUGCACAUGGUCUGACUUAUGGACUAUUUACAUGACGAGUUAAUCCUGUAUUUAAUAGCCAACAUUAAUCGACUCGUGAUCGCUUCUCAAACGGAACUAUUUCUUAUUGACGCUGAAGAAGAGGCACUGAAUUGGAUAUCUCAAUCCGGAUUUGUUCCUCCCCACACAAGGCAGAGAUGACCUUCUUAUGACCUUUACAUUAAAGCAAAUGAUGCGUAUUGUGGCUGAGAGCAAGAGUAUCACCUCCCUUCUGCAGUAACAUCCCACUGCAACCAGUUGGAGCCGGUCCAGUUUUAAAUUUAGGUUCACCUCAGACCACACACCAUCAUUACGUCUGACGAUAGAAGGGGAGAUGAGAGCCGCCGGCCCUGUCUGUGAUUCUAGGAGGGGGAGCUCAUCAUCGCUGCUGUGUGGAGCAGCGUGAGGCUGGGUUGCCCGGGACUGUUGGUAUUGAGCAGGGAGGAGCGCCCCGGGCACAAUCCAUCAAAAAGAAGCUGCCUGGGCACCGUGGGAAUAGACAUGAAUAAUCCAUGCUUUCUUUACCCUUUCCUGUGUUACUGCCUCAAACAGAAGGACUGGCUCUAUUUUCACACCUCCUGCAUCCACCCUCCUCGCCUCACUGCACAGGGCUGACUUCAGGUCUCUCAGGUUGUUUCCCUCGAGAUGCAGCCUGUGUGGAAGCACAGCGUUUGGUUUCUGGAAGGAGACUGCACUUCACUGUUUGCCGGAGCUGGGACAAAAGCUUAACAUGCACAGGGAGAAAUGGAUCAGGCCAGCCGGGUGGGUGGAAGCUGUGCAAUUAUCUCUGGUUCCUGUGAUGGCAAUGAUUGCUGCAACAGCCGAGUGGUCCCAGAGCACAGCAGGUGUGACUGUCUGGCUGCAGGUUGGUGGGCCUGUCGCUGGAUAUGAUUGCACAUGAGCAGUUUGGAUGUUGUGACACUGAAGAGCAGAGUGUAGUUUGUUUUCUGUUGAUUGUUUUUAACUAAAUAAUUUAACCUUAAAGUCUUGAAAUGUAUAAAUUGCGUGCUGAACUAAAGUCACCCGAGAAUCAGACAACAUAUAUCACAUUAGACACUUUCAGCUUACCUUUCAUCUUUACCCUUGAUAACAGCAUCAGCAUGUUAUUUGUCAGCACUCUAUGUUUCACAUCUCUGUAUAAUAAUCUUGAAAACAGAUUGGUGUUGACAGAUAUGGCGUGGCACUGAUUAAAGCAGACCAAACAGA
Notolabrus celidotus (New Zealand spotty) is the source of this 1640-nucleotide long non-coding RNA. RefSeq lists it as uncharacterized. The record is from RefSeq and is a predicted model, not a curated record. NCBI's taxonomy places the organism in Eukaryota, Metazoa, Chordata, Actinopteri, Labriformes, Labridae. The transcript has 7 exons.